AUCUUCUUCCGCUCUGAGGCGCUACUGAGGCCGCGGAGCCGGACUGCGGUUGGGGCGGGAAGAGCCGGGGCCGUGGCUGAGAUAGAGCAGCCCUGCUGCUGAGGCCCCGCCCUCCCCACCCUGAGGUGGGGGCCCACCAGGAUGAGCAAGCUGCCUAGGGAGCUGACCCGAGACUUGGAGCGCAGCCUGCCUGCCGUGGCCUCCCUGGGCUCCUCACUGUCCCACAGCCAGAGCCUCUCCUCGCACCUCCUUCCGCCGCCUGAGAAGCGAAGGGCCAUCUCUGAUGUCCGCCGCACCUUCUGUCUCUUCGUCACCUUCGACCUGCUCUUCAUCUCCCUGCUCUGGAUCAUCGAACUGAAUACCAACACAGGCAUCCGUAAGAACUUGGAGCAGGAGAUCAUCCAGUACAACUUUAAAACUUCCUUCUUCGACAUCUUCGUCCUGGCCUUCUUCCGCUUCUCUGGACUGCUCCUAGGCUAUGCCAUGCUGCGGCUCCGGCACUGGUCACGACGCUGGUGUCCAGUGCAUUCCUCAUUGUCAAGGUCAUCCUCUCUGAGGUCAGUGGCUCAGGGUCUGGCCAGUCUGGUGGGCAUCAGACCUGAGUGGUAUGCUUCUAGAGAGGAGCAUUUCUCUAAUUUGGGGUGUCUGUCCCUGUUGUCCGGGUUAGGGGGAGAGGGAAUCCUGUCCUUUGGUAUCUAUAAGGAAUCAUCCUUCACCCGCUUCCCUGACUUAGCCCCUUGCAGCUCUAGGAAUCAGAAGGUUCUUUCUCCAGCCUAACCCCAGUUUAUCCUGCUGCAGACUUGAGAGGGUUCCCAAGCAGCUGCUACCAGGAAUGGGGUGUAUGCCAGUUUGACUGGCUAGAGUUGGUAGCCACAGAAGGGGGCUCUGGGUUUGGGGUGACCCCUGCCAUGGAGCUCAGCCCCCUCCCUUCACAGCUGCUCAGCAAAGGGGCAUUUGGCUACCUGCUCCCCAUCGUCUCUUUUGUCCUCGCCUGGUUGGAGACCUGGUUCCUUGACUUCAAAGUCCUACCCCAGGAAGCUGAAGAGGAGCGAUGUGAGUGCUUGCGGGUAGGGGGGUGCAGCGAGGGUUACCCCCAGCCCCAAGAGAGGGGAGUUGCGGGCAUGAGAGUCAGUCUGAAGCAUCUCGCCACCUCUGAGCAGCCUCCAGUAGCCUGAGGGGGAGCUUGGGUGGGGGUACCCCAGGCUGCUAGGGUGUAACUGUCCUUGGUCUGGGACUGAGUCUGCUCCUCCAGGGUAUCUUGCCGCCCAGGUUGCUGUUGCCCGUGGACCCCUGCUGUUCUCCGGUGCUCUGUCCGAGGGACAGUUCUAUUCACCCCCAGAAUCCUUUGCA
This 1350-nucleotide small RNA is filed under the name Pan troglodytes (chimpanzee). RNAcentral's name for it is "retained intron". The record is from RNAcentral. Lineage: Eukaryota; Metazoa; Chordata; Mammalia; Primates; Hominidae.